This 30-nucleotide transfer RNA is filed under the name Pamphorichthys hollandi. RNAcentral describes it as "partial tRNA-Thr". The record is from RNAcentral. Lineage: Eukaryota; Metazoa; Chordata; Actinopteri; Cyprinodontiformes; Poeciliidae.
GCACUUAGUAGCUCAGUAAAAAGAGCGUCG